UUACGGUCAUAUCACGUUGAAAUACUGGUUCCCAUCCGAUCACUCAAGUUAAGCAAAAUCGAGUCUGGUCAGUACCUGGAUGAGUGACUGCUUUGGAAG
Acanthosepion pharaonis is the source of this 99-nucleotide non-coding RNA. The record is from the annotation of a GenBank genome assembly. Lineage: Eukaryota; Metazoa; Mollusca; Cephalopoda; Sepiida; Sepiidae.